This 1457-nucleotide ribosomal RNA is filed under the name Escherichia coli. RNAcentral's name for it is "partial 23S ribosomal RNA". It matches the Rfam family "Bacterial large subunit ribosomal RNA", at positions 1 to 1494 of the family's 2925-position model. The record is from RNAcentral. Lineage: Bacteria; Pseudomonadati; Pseudomonadota; Gammaproteobacteria; Enterobacterales; Enterobacteriaceae.
GGGUUGUGAGGUUAAGCGACUAAGCGUACACGGUGGAUGCCCUGGCAGUCAGAGGCGAUGAAGGACGUGCUAAUCUGCGAUAAGCGUCGGUGAGGUGAUAUGAACCGUUAUAACCGGCGAUUUCCGAAUGGGGAAACCCAGUGUGUUUCGACACACUAUCAUUAACUGAAUCCAUAGGUUAAUGAGGCGAACCGGGGGAACUGAAACAUCUAAGUACCCCGAGGAAAAGAAAUCAACCGAGAUUCCCCCAGUAGCGGCGAGCGAACGGGGAGGAGCCCAGAGCCUGAAUCAGUGUGUGUGUUAGUGGAAGCGUCUGGAAAGGCGCGCGAUACAGGGUGACAGUCCCGUACACAAAAAUGCACAUACUGUGAGCUCGAUGAGUAGGGCGGGACACGUGGUAUCCUGUCUGAAUAUGGGGGGACCAUCCUCCAAGGCUAAAUACUCCUGACUGACCGAUAGUGAACCAGUACCGUGAGGGAAAGGCGAAAAGAACCCCGGCGAGGGGAGUGAAAAAGAACCUGAAACCGUGUACGUACAAGCAGUGGGAGCCUCUUAAUGGGGUGACUGCGUACCUUUUGUAUAAUGGGUCAGCGACUUAUAUUCUGUAGCAAGGUUAACCGAAUAGGGGAGCCGAAGGGAAACCGAGUCUUAACUGGGCGUUAAGUUGCAGGGUAUAGACCCGAAACCCGGUGAUCUAGCCAUGGGCAGGUUGAAGGUUGGGUAACACUAACUGGAGGACCGAACCGACUAAUGUUGAAAAAUUAGCGGAUGACUUGUGGCUGGGGGUGAAAGGCCAAUCAAACCGGGAGAUAGCUGGUUCUCCCCGAAAGCUAUUUAGGUAGCGCCUCGUGAAUUCAUCUCCGGGGGUAGAGCACUGUUUCGGCAAGGGGGUCAUCCCGACUUACCAACCCGAUGCAAACUGCGAAUACCGGAGAAUGUUAUCACGGGAGACACACGGCGGGUGCUAACGUCCGUCGUGAAGAGGGAAACAACCCAGACCGCCAGCUAAGGUCCCAAAGUCAUGGUUAAGUGGGAAACGAUGUGGGAAGGCCCAGACAGCCAGGAUGUUGGCUUAGAAGCAGCCAUCAUUUAAAGAAAGCGUAAUAGCUCACUGGUCGAGUCGGCCUGCGCGGAAGAUGUAACGGGGCUAAACCAUGCACCGAAGCUGCGGCAGCGACGCUUAUGCGUUGUUGGGUAGGGGAGCGUUCUGUAAGCCUGUGAAGGUGUGCUGUGAGGCAUGCUGGAGGUAUCAGAAGUGCGAAUGCUGACAUAAGUAACGAUAAAGCGGGUGAAAAGCCCGCUCGCCGGAAGACCAAGGGUUCCUGUCCAACGUUAAUCGGGGCAGGGUGAGUCGACCCCUAAGGCGAGGCCGAAAGGCGUAGUCGAUGGGAAACAGGUUAAUAUUCCUGUACUUGGUGUUACUGCGAAGGGGGGACGGAGAAGGCUAUGUUGGCCGG